AUUGAACGCUGGCGGCAGGCCUAACACAUGCAAGUCGAGCGGAUGAAGGGAGCUUGCUCCUGGAUUCAGCGGCGGACGGGUGAGUAAUGCCUAGGAAUCUGCCUGGUAGUGGGGGAUAACGUCCGGAAACGGGCGCUAAUACCGCAUACGUCCUGAGGGAGAAAGUGGGGGAUCUUCGGACCUCACGCUAUCAGAUGAGCCUAGGUCGGAUUAGCUAGUUGGCGGGGUAAAGGCCUACCAAGGCGACGAUCCGUAACUGGUCUGAGAGGAUGAUCAGUCACACUGGAACUGAGACACGGUCCAGACUCCUACGGGAGGCAGCAGUGGGGAAUAUUGGACAAUGGGCGAAAGCCUGAUCCAGCCAUGCCGCGUGUGUGAAGAAGGUCUUCGGAUUGUAAAGCACUUUAAGUUGGGAGGAAGGGCAGUAAGUUAAUACCUUGCUGUUAUGACGUUACCAACAGAAUAAGCACCGGCUAACUUCGUG
Molecule: ribosomal RNA, 484 nt
Filed under: uncultured bacterium
Lineage: Bacteria
Description: partial 16S ribosomal RNA
Rfam family: Bacterial small subunit ribosomal RNA
Source: RNAcentral